UACGGAGGGGGCUAGCGUUGUUCGGAAUUACUGGGCGUAAAGCGCACGUAGGCGGCUUUGUAAGUUAGAGGUGAAAGCCCGGGGCUCAACUCCGGAAUUGCCUUUAAGACUGCAUCGCUAGAAUUGUGGAGAGGUAAGUGGAAUUCCCAGUGUAGAGGUGAAAUUCGUAGAUAUUGGGAAGAACACCGGUGGCGAAGGCGGCGACCUGGUCCGAGACUGACGCUGAGGCGCGAAAGCGUGGGGAGCAAACAGG
RNAcentral lists this ribosomal RNA (253 nucleotides) under uncultured bacterium. Its description in RNAcentral is "partial 16S ribosomal RNA". It matches the Rfam family "Bacterial small subunit ribosomal RNA", at positions 524 to 776 of the family's 1533-position model. The record is from RNAcentral.